This 2904-nucleotide ribosomal RNA is filed under the name Escherichia coli. RNAcentral describes it as "23S ribosomal RNA". It matches the Rfam family "Bacterial large subunit ribosomal RNA". RNAcentral also lists the same sequence under 1 other name. Lineage: Bacteria; Pseudomonadati; Pseudomonadota; Gammaproteobacteria; Enterobacterales; Enterobacteriaceae. The record is from RNAcentral.
GGUUAAGCGACUAAGCGUACACGGUGGAUGCCCUGGCAGUCAGAGGCGAUGAAGGACGUGCUAAUCUGCGAUAAGCGUCGGUAAGGUGAUAUGAACCGUUAUAACCGGCGAUUUCCGAAUGGGGAAACCCAGUGUGAUUCGUCACACUAUCAUUAACUGAAUCCAUAGGUUAAUGAGGCGAACCGGGGGAACUGAAACAUCUAAGUACCCCGAGGAAAAGAAAUCAACCGAGAUUCCCCCAGUAGCGGCGAGCGAACGGGGAGCAGCCCAGAGCCUGAAUCAGUGUGUGUGUUAGUGGAAGCGUCUGGAAAGGCGUGCGAUACAGGGUGACAGCCCCGUACACAAAAAUGCACAUAUUGUGAGCUCGAUGAGUAGGGCGGGACACGUGGUAUCCUGUCUGAAUAUGGGGGGACCAUCCUCCAAGGCUAAAUACUCCUGACUGACCGAUAGUGAACCAGUACCGUGAGGGAAAGGCGAAAAGAACCCCGGCGAGGGGAGUGAAAAAGAACCUGAAACCGUGUACGUACAAGCAGUGGGAGCACGCUUAGGCGUGUGACUGCGUACCUUUUGUAUAAUGGGUCAGCGACUUAUAUUCUGUAGCAAGGUUAACCGAAUAGGGGAGCCGAAGGGAAACCGAGUCUUAACUGGGCGUUAAGUUGCAGGGUAUAGACCCGAAACCCGGUGAUCUAGCCAUGGGCAGGUUGAAGGUUGGGUAACACUAACUGGAGGACCGAACCGACUAAUGUUGAAAAAUUAGCGGAUGACUUGUGGCUGGGGGUGAAAGGCCAAUCAAACCGGGAGAUAGCUGGUUCUCCCCGAAAGCUAUUUAGGUAGCGCCUCGUGAAUUCAUCUCCGGGGGUAGAGCACUGUUUCGGCAAGGGGGUCAUCCCGACUUACCAACCCGAUGCAAACUGCGAAUACCGGAGAAUGUUAUCACGGGAGACACACGGCGGGUGCUAACGUCCGUCGUGAAGAGGGAAACAACCCAGACCGCCAGCUAAGGUCCCAAAGUCAUGGUUAAGUGGGAAACGAUGUGGGAAGGCCCAGACAGCCAGGAUGUUGGCUUAGAAGCAGCCAUCAUUUAAAGAAAGCGUAAUAGCUCACUGGUCGAGUCGGCCUGCGCGGAAGAUGUAACGGGGCUAAACCAUGCACCGAAGCUGCGGCAGCGACGCUGAUGCGUUGUUGGGUAGGGGAGCGUUCUGUAAGCCUGCGAAGGUGUGCUGUGAGGCAUGCUGGAGGUAUCAGAAGUGCGAAUGCUGACAUAAGUAACGAUAAAGCGGGUGAAAAGCCCGCUCGCCGGAAGACCAAGGGUUCCUGUCCAACGUUAAUCGGGGCAGGGUGAGUCGACCCCUAAGGCGAGGCCGAAAGGCGUAGUCGAUGGGAAACAGGUUAAUAUUCCUGUACUUGGUGUUACUGCGAAGGGGGGACGGAGAAGGCUAUGUUGGCCGGGCGACGGUUGUCCCGGUUUAAGCGUGUAGGCUGGUUUUCCAGGCAAAUCCGGAAAAUCAAGGCUGAGGCGUGAUGACGAGGCACUACGGUGCUGAAGCAACAAAUGCCCUGCUUCCAGGAAAAGCCUCUAAGCAUCAGGUAACAUCAAAUCGUACCCCAAACCGACACAGGUGGUCAGGUAGAGAAUACCAAGGCGCUUGAGAGAACUCGGGUGAAGGAACUAGGCAAAAUGGUGCCGUAACUUCGGGAGAAGGCACGCUGAUAUGUAGGUGAAGUCCCUCGCGGAUGGAGCUGAAAUCAGUCGAAGAUACCAGCUGGCUGCAACUGUUUAUUAAAAACACAGCACUGUGCAAACACGAAAGUGGACGUAUACGGUGUGACGCCUGCCCGGUGCCGGAAGGUUAAUUGAUGGGGUCAGCGCAAGCGAAGCUCUUGAUCGAAGCCCCGGUAAACGGCGGCCGUAACUAUAACGGUCCUAAGGUAGCGAAAUUCCUUGUCGGGUAAGUUCCGACCUGCACGAAUGGCGUAAUGAUGGCCAGGCUGUCUCCACCCGAGACUCAGUGAAAUUGAACUCGCUGUGAAGAUGCAGUGUACCCGCGGCAAGACGGAAAGACCCCGUGAACCUUUACUAUAGCUUGACACUGAACAUUGAGCCUUGAUGUGUAGGAUAGGUGGGAGGCUUUGAAGUGUGGACGCCAGUCUGCAUGGAGCCGACCUUGAAAUACCACCCUUUAAUGUUUGAUGUUCUAACGUUGACCCGUAAUCCGGGUUGCGGACAGUGUCUGGUGGGUAGUUUGACUGGGGCGGUCUCCUCCUAAAGAGUAACGGAGGAGCACGAAGGUUGGCUAAUCCUGGUCGGACAUCAGGAGGUUAGUGCAAUGGCAUAAGCCAGCUUGACUGCGAGCGUGACGGCGCGAGCAGGUGCGAAAGCAGGUCAUAGUGAUCCGGUGGUUCUGAAUGGAAGGGCCAUCGCUCAACGGAUAAAAGGUACUCCGGGGAUAACAGGCUGAUACCGCCCAAGAGUUCAUAUCGACGGCGGUGUUUGGCACCUCGAUGUCGGCUCAUCACAUCCUGGGGCUGAAGUAGGUCCCAAGGGUAUGGCUGUUCGCCAUUUAAAGUGGUACGCGAGCUGGGUUUAGAACGUCGUGAGACAGUUCGGUCCCUAUCUGCCGUGGGCGCUGGAGAAUUGAGGGGGGCUGCUCCUAGUACGAGAGGACCGGAGUGGACGCAUCACUGGUGUUCGGGUUGUCAUGCCAAUGGCACUGCCCGGUAGCUAAAUGCGGAAGAGAUAAGUGCUGAAAGCAUCUAAGCACGAAACUUGCCCCGAGAUGAGUUCUCCCUGACUCCUUGAGAGUCCUGAAGGAACGUUGAAGACGACGACGUUGAUAGGCCGGGUGUGUAAGCGCAGCGAUGCGUUGAGCUAACCGGUACUAAUGAACCGUGAGGCUUAACCUU